AAUGGGUCAGCGACUUAUAUUCUGUAGCAAGGUUAACCGAAUAGGGGAGCCGAAGGGAAACCGAGUCUUAACUGGGCGUUAAGUUGCAGGGUAUAGACCCGAAACCCGGUGAUCUAGCCAUGGGCAGGUUGAAGGUUGGGUAACACUAACUGGAGGACCGAACCGACUAAUGUUGAAAAAUUAGCGGAUGACUUGUGGCUGGGGGUGAAAGGCCAAUCAAACCGGGAGAUAGCUGGUUCUCCCCGAAAGCUAUUUAGGUAGCGCCUCGUGAAUUCAUCUCCGGGGGUAGAGCACUGUUUCGGCAAGGGGGUCAUCCCGACUUACCAACCCGAUGCAAACUGCGAAUACCGGAGAAUGUUAUCACGGGAGACACACGGCGGGUGCUAACGUCCGUCGUGAAGAGGGAAACAACCCAGACCGCCAGCUAAGGUCCCAAAGUCAUGGUUAAGUGGGAAACGAUGUGGGAAGGCCCAGACAGCCAGGAUGUUGGCUUAGAAGCAGCCAUCAUUUAAAGAAAGCGUAAUAGCUCACUGGUCGAGUCGGCCUGCGCGGAAGAUGUAACGGGGCUAAACCAUGCACCGAAGCUGCGGCAGCGACACUAUGUGUUGUUGGGUAGGGGAGCGUUCUGUAAGCCUGUGAAGGUGUGCUGUGAGGCAUGCUGGAGGUAUCAGAAGUGCGAAUGCUGACAUAAGUAACGAUAAAGCGGGUGAAAAGCCCGCUCGCCGGAAGACCAAGGGUUCCUGUCCAACGUUAAUCGGGGCAGGGUGAGUCGACCCCUAAGGCGAGGCCGAAAGGCGUAGUCGAUGGGAAACAGGUUAAUAUUCCUGUACUUGGUGUUACUGCGAAGGGGGGACGGAGAAGGCUAUGUUGGCCGGGCGACGGUUGUCCCGGUUUAAGCGUGUAGGCUGGUUUUCCAGGCAAAUCCGGAAAAUCAAGGCUGAGGCGUGAUGACGAGGCACUACGGUGCUGAAGCAACAAAUGCCCUGCUUCCAGGAAAAGCCUCUAAGCAUCAGGUAACAUCAAAUCGUACCCCAAACCGACACAGGUGGUCAGGUAGAGAAUACCAAGGCGCUUGAGAGAACUCGGGUGAAGGAACUAGGCAAAAUGGUGCCGUAACUUCGGGAGAAGGCACGCUGAUAUGUAGGUGAAGCGACUUGCUCGUGGAGCUGAAAUCAGUCGAAGAUACCAGCUGGCUGCAACUGUUUAUUAAAAACACAGCACUGUGCAAACACGAAAGUGGACGUAUACGGUGUGACGCCUGCCCGGUGC
Molecule: ribosomal RNA, 1269 nt
Filed under: Escherichia coli
Lineage: Bacteria; Pseudomonadati; Pseudomonadota; Gammaproteobacteria; Enterobacterales; Enterobacteriaceae
Description: partial 23S ribosomal RNA
Rfam family: Bacterial large subunit ribosomal RNA
Source: RNAcentral